RNAcentral lists this transfer RNA (87 nucleotides) under Mycoplasmatota bacterium. Its description in RNAcentral is "Tenericutes bacterium tRNA-Leu". It matches the Rfam family "tRNA". From Rfam's summary of the family: Transfer RNA (tRNA) molecules are approximately 80 nucleotides in length. Their secondary structure includes four short double-helical elements and three loops (D, anti-codon, and T loops). Lineage: Bacteria; Bacillati; Mycoplasmatota. RNAcentral also lists the same sequence under 1 other name. The record is from RNAcentral.
GCCAGCGUGGCGGAAUUGGUAGACGCAGUGGACUCAAAAUCCACCGGAGUCAAAUCCUUACGGGUUCGAGUCCCGUCGCUGGUACCA